GAGCUGCCCUAUGAAGGACUGU
This 22-nucleotide microRNA is filed under the name Ascaris suum (pig roundworm). RNAcentral's name for it is "asu-miR-1822-3p". Lineage: Eukaryota; Metazoa; Nematoda; Chromadorea; Rhabditida; Ascarididae. The record is from miRBase by way of RNAcentral.